Long non-coding RNA from Dunckerocampus dactyliophorus (ringed pipefish), 1591 nucleotides. RefSeq lists it as uncharacterized. The record is from RefSeq and is a predicted model, not a curated record. NCBI's taxonomy places the organism in Eukaryota, Metazoa, Chordata, Actinopteri, Syngnathiformes, Syngnathidae. The transcript has 4 exons.
GAGUGAGCGAGCAAGGCAGACACACACAGAUGCGCAGUGAGAGAGAGAGAGACGGAGGGAGAGAACGAUUGGAGGGGAGGGGAAGCAGACAAGAUUUUGAGUUCAAGUGCACGUGAAGAAAAUGAAUAGACGCGGGCGAAAGGAAACCAGAAAAAGGGGACAAAAGCCCACCGUGCUCCUUUCUCCCUAUUCUCCGUUUCCUUCACAAAAAGACGGAAUGAAGAAGUGCAAACUACGGUAAAGGAGGUAAAAAAUUAUGUAUCCCCCCUUCUUCUUCCUCCUCCUCCCUCCAUUGACACACUCCUCCUCUAUCCCUCCCUGCUGGAUAUUUCUCUCUCUUUCUCUUCUUCUCCCUAGCUCUUGUUUCUCUCCCCUCCCACCUCCCAACACACACACACACACACACACACACACACACACACACUGAGGACUCCUUCUCACUCCUUCCCCUUCACGCUGUUCCUACUAUCCACUUUCCCUGAAGACCGAGCACGUCAGGCUGGGCUCUUUUUCCUUCUUUUUACCACCGUCGCCACCUCACAUACGGAGAUAGGCUAAUGCAUGGCACUCCUUAAAUAUAUGCAGGAUUGACUCCUUGUUAGGUCACAUGCCUUUUUUUUUAGUCAGGAGAAAAUGGAGAGCGUGGUCUUGCAGAGAGAGGUAGGAGAAAAGAGUACCGGCACUGGUGAGGAAAAAUGGGAGGGAGGAGAGAAAGCGAGGAGGGUGUGUGUGUGUGGUAGAGGGGGGAGGCGACCAGUAGGGGACGACUAGGUAGGAAUCUGCAAAAUCGCGGGAAAAGGGAAAAAAAAAGCACCAUCAUCAAGAAAUUCUUCUGUGGUGACCACCUCAUGCAUUCGUGAGUAGAACCACUAUCCACACUCCUCUUUUUGUCUAAAAAACAAAAAAAAUCCCCCCUCUGUCAUCCAUCUCGUGCAUCUAUCUCGUCUUCUUCCUCCUCGAAUUUGGAUUAGCUCCGCUCACAUUUACACGAAGGCUUUGAACAGGCGAAGCGGGGGAGAUCACCAGCGAGAGCGCCCACUUUUUUGGGGAUGGGUGAGGGGAGGGGGGGAGGUGGAGGCCGGGGUGCGUGUCCGCAUUUACGUGCAUCCAUUUAUCUGCGUUCAUCGUCUGGAGGUCGGCGCACACGCGUGACGGUUCGACUUUUCAAAAUAACAGAAUUAAAAUCACUGGAUUGACAGGAGGAAGGAUGCGGCCUCAUUCAGUCUUUUUUUUUUUUUAUAUCUCCUCCCUUGCUGCUCUUCUUCUUCAUCAGUUUUAUCGCCUAUCUGUCCUCACUAACGACUGAACUCAAUAAGAUUGGGCCUUCAACACAACCCCUCUGAGGACAAGCUUGUCGUCAGGAAUGCAGCGGUCAACCAGAAGAGAAGAUCCCCCAGUGAGACGAGCCAUGGGAAAAUCCUCAAAGCUAGAAUCUGCUUGUGAGAGACGCCAUCCAAUCCAGGCGCUGCAGUAAGCAAUGACGCAGACUGUGGCACACCAGGAAUGAGCAACGGCAUCCUUUUCUAGGAGCACGGGGACUCAUAUGUCGCCUUUUUGCGAUCGUAAGUGAGGACAAGGUGUGUUCAGCGUG